RNAcentral lists this long non-coding RNA (1526 nucleotides) under Struthio camelus australis. Its description in RNAcentral is "lncRNA (ENSSCUG00000014417.1)". The record is from RNAcentral. Lineage: Eukaryota; Metazoa; Chordata; Aves; Struthioniformes; Struthionidae.
GAUGGGGGAGAUCUAGUCAUAAACUCAGAUGAAGCUACAGCAAAGGCCUGCCCAUCUCCCUCCACUGCUAUGAAGAAGCCCCUAAGCUAGUCAGGGUUUUGACAUAUAGUCCCUCACAGCACGGCUAUGGAGAGGACUCCCAGGCCAGCAGACAAAUGCUUAUAGAUUAGGCAGGCUGGGAUUUAGGAACACCCAAGUGGAGGGAUGUCCUCAGUGGGCAGAUCAAGCCACCCACUACAGCAGACACUGCAACAUUUCAGCGCAUCUCCACACAAGGUGACCCUGUUCCACCUUGGUGUGUAACUGAGAGAAGCACUCCGGCCAUGCAGAGCUCUGCGAGGUGCCAUCUCCAGUGCUGCUGGAGAGCCUCGUGGACUGUUUGGAAGAGACAGCACAACAAAAAGCAUCGCAGCAGCAGUAAUGAUAGUGCAGGUGGCCUUCAUCAGGAACCACAGCUGCAGGGCAGAAAACCUACACAAAUGGGAAGAGAAAGAUCUGUGAAGAAAACCCACGGCAGCAUCUCAGAGCCUGGCACCUGCAGGAUGGAACCCACUUUUCAAAGGAGAAGAAGCAAUCUCUACACUGAGGACCUGACACACAACAGACACUGUGGAAGAACAUGGAAGAGCAUCUUUGGGCAAUUACACACUAUAGGAAAACAAUAGCUUUAGCCAGUUUUAAAUUUUCUGCCUCUCAAUUUCAUUGCAUUACAUUUCUCCUGACUUUUUCUGAGAAAAGGUAAAGAGAUCUCCAUAGCUCUCUUUAUGCCACUUUCUUUCUUUCUUUCUUUCUCUCUCUCUUUCAUAUCCCUUCUUCUCUCUGCUUUCUGGUCAUAAUGGUAUUUUCUAACUAUACCUGUUACUGAAAGCACACAAUCUACCCGUUAUAAGCAAAUGAGCUAAACAUGCCUUGAAAUGACAGAUAAAUCUGAAUGAGAUUUGAGACUGAGAUAUUCUAAAGGAUGUUGUCAAAAUAUUUAUGACACGGAAGGAGCUCAUUUGAAGCAUCAGAGAAGUAUAGCUGAAGAUCAUGAAGAAAAACUUGAAUAAUUUUGCACAGAUUCACGGAGUAUGGAGAAUGCAUGUUGCCAGACUGCUUGUUUGCAUACACUACACUGCAGAGUUGUUGAAAUCCAACUUAUUUCACCUGCCAAACCCUCUGAGACAACAAAUCUUCUCUGGCACGCCAAUCGAGUUUUUAACAUCCAGAUAAAAUCAGUACUGUUGUGUCAGAUCCCUGAAAGAGAUAAUACAGUACAUGAGGGGUUAUUCAAGUCAAGCUGACCGAUAAUAGAUCUUGCAAGUUUUCCUACUAUCUUCAGUGGUGAAAAGCACAUGAGACAAACUACUCUUUGGGAGGUAUUUCAUAAUAGCAAAGGGUCUUGUAAUAACUGUAUUAUGAUCAAUCUUCAAUAGGAAGAGAUUGAUUAGGCAUCUGUAUUUUGUCUAGUGCAAGAGAACUAUGAUUAUUAUGGAAUAACAUCUAGAAAACUGACUAAUAAUAAAUAUAUUAAUGGCAUUUAGACA